Potamilus streckersoni is the source of this 93-nucleotide non-coding RNA. The record is from the annotation of a GenBank genome assembly. Lineage: Eukaryota; Metazoa; Mollusca; Bivalvia; Unionida; Unionidae.
GCUCAUGUGGCCUAGUGGUUAGAGAAUCCGCUUCGGAUGCGGGAGGACGAGGGUUCGAACGUUUUCUUACUUUACUAUUCCCUUGCCUGUACA